Molecule: ribosomal RNA, 253 nt
Filed under: uncultured bacterium
Lineage: Bacteria
Description: partial 16S ribosomal RNA
Rfam family: Bacterial small subunit ribosomal RNA
Source: RNAcentral
UACAGAGGGUGCAAGCGUUAAUCGGAAUUACUGGGCGUAAAGCGCGCGUAGUCGGUUCUUUAAGUCGGAUGUGAAAUCCCCGGGCUCAACCUGGGAAUUGCAUUCGAUACUGGAUAGCUAGAGUUCGGCAGAGGGAAGCGGAAUUUCUGGUGUAGCGGUGAAAUGCGUAGAUAUCAGAAGGAACAUCAGUGGCGAAAGCGGCUUCCUGGACCAGAACUGACGAUCAGGCGCGAAAGCGUGGGGAGCAAACAGG